Molecule: ribosomal RNA, 267 nt
Filed under: uncultured archaeon
Lineage: Archaea
Description: partial 16S ribosomal RNA
Rfam family: Archaeal small subunit ribosomal RNA
Source: RNAcentral
AGUCACUGACAUUAGAUACCCGCGUAGUCCCAGCCGUAAACUAUGCUCGCUAGGUGUCAGGCAUGGCGCGACCGUGUCUGGUGCCGCAGGGAAGCCGUGAAGCGAGCCACCUGGGAAGUACGGCCGCAAGGCUGAAACUUAAAGGAAAUUGGCGGGGGAGGCACAACAACGGGUGGAGCCUGCGGUUUAAUUGGACUCAACGCCGGACAACUCACCGGGAACGACAGCAAUAUGUAGGCCAGGCUGAAGACCUUGCCUGAAUCGCUG